This 63-nucleotide transfer RNA is filed under the name Rattus norvegicus (Norway rat). It matches the Rfam family "tRNA". Rfam says of the family: Transfer RNA (tRNA) molecules are approximately 80 nucleotides in length. The record is from Rfam by way of RNAcentral. Lineage: Eukaryota; Metazoa; Chordata; Mammalia; Rodentia; Muridae.
GGGGAUUUAGUUCAGUGGUAGAGCGCUUGCCUAGCAAGUGCAAGGCCCUGGGUUUAGUCCCCA